This 425-nucleotide ribosomal RNA is filed under the name uncultured cyanobacterium. Its description in RNAcentral is "bacterial SSU rRNA". It matches the Rfam family "Bacterial small subunit ribosomal RNA", at positions 356 to 795 of the family's 1533-position model. The record is from RNAcentral. Lineage: Bacteria; Bacillati; Cyanobacteriota.
GGGGAAUUUUCCGCAAUGGGCGAAAGCCUGACGGAGCAAGACCGCGUGGGGGAUGAAGGUUUGUGGAUUGUAAACCCCUUUUGAUUGGGAAGAAUACUGACGGUACCAAUCGAAUAAGCCUCGGCUAACUCCGUGCCAGCAGCCGCGGNUAAUACGGAGGAGGCAAGCGUUAUCCGGAAUUAUUGGGCGUAAAGCGUCCGUAGGUGGUUUAGUAAGUCUGCUGUUAAAGCGCGGGGCUUAACUCCGUAUCGGCAGUGGAAACUACUAGACUAGAGUGUGGUAGGGGUAGAGGGAAUUCCCAGUGUAGCGGUGAAAUGCGUAGAUAUUGGGAAGAACACCGGUGGCGAAAGCGCUCUACUGGGCCAUAACUGACACUGAUGGACGAAAGCUAGGGGAGCGAAAGGGAUUAGAUACCCCUGNUAGUC